AAUCCAGAUGUUGUGUUAUAAUAGAGCAGGGUAGCUACGUGGUAUAUGUGUCCUAGUGAAGGUUAUGUUAUUAACUAUAAUCUUAAUGAACGAAAGUUGCCAAGAUGAAUGCGUCAUGGACGCUGUUCCGGAAGAUGUCAGCGAGAGAAGGUGUGUUUCCGGAAGACGUGGCUGUUGCUGCAGUGGCAGCUGUCAUCCAAAAUUAUUCUGAGAAGAGCUUUUUUGUUCUGCUUCUGUCUCAUCCAGCUACAUUAUCAAGAUGAUUUCUCUAACGGACUCCCAAAAGAUUGGAAUGGGAUUAACAGGCUUCGGCGUGUUUUUCCUCUUCUUCGGGAUGAUCCUGUUCUUUGACAAAGCACUUCUGGCUAUUGGAAAUAUUCUCUUUGUUGCUGGACUCUCCUUUGUCAUCGGCCUUGAGAGGACCUUCCGCUUCUUUUUCCAGAAGCACAAGAUGAAGGCCACCAGUUUCUUCCUGGGAGGAGUGUUUGUGGUGUUGAUUGGCUGGCCCAUUAUUGGAGUUUUGCUCGAGAUCUAUGGUUUUUUUCUCUUAUUCAGGGGCUUCUUUCCAGUGGUUGUAGGCUUUAUCAGGAGAAUACCAGUCCUUGGCUCCAUCCUAAACCUGCCCUUUAUCAGUGCAGAAGCUUGAGUACCCGGAGAGAACCUGCAAAUCCCACGCAGAAUGGCCCCAGUGGAUUUUAACAUAUGCGGACAAAGUGGGCGAGAGCAACACUAUGGUAUAACAGUGACUUUUUGUAACCAGAGAAAGUUGUUUGAUUAUAGGUUUUAUAAAGCAUCACAAUCUCCCAUGGUGCUGAGUAAAAGCACCUAAAUAUACAGAUCAGAUUCAGAUUUCCACAUUCAAGCAGACAAGGACUGUUUUUGUCUGUAACUUCAGUGGUCAGCACUACCAAUCACAGAUUCAUCACUGUAUCGCACCAUCAGUUUCUUACUGUCAACACUAAAGUCUCUACAAUAAAUGUUUCAAAUGCCAUCGAUCCCUUCGCCAUUGACUGCAUCUUGCGUUUAAAAGGAGGAUAGAAGACUCCCUCAAGGCCCGACUUUAUCUACAUGAUGUUCUUAAUCUGUGGAACUGUCAGAUAAAACUACCCAGUGCAAGGACAAGAAGUGGAAGUGCAUCCUGCCAUGUUUGCCACGUUUGUGCCUGUGCUUUAACCUAAUUUGCACAAAAGCUUUUAAAUCCAGGAUUUUGUUUACAGUUACACCCCCGUUCAGCUGUUGGAAUAUUUACUUUGUCCAUUUCUUUGUGAUUGUGUUCAGUGUUGGCUAGAAGUGUUUCUGUAUAAAUUAUUUUUUAAAUAUGAUCGCUUGACUUUAUCUGUUAUGAGUGGCAGUCUGUCUACUCGUUCGUUGGGAUAGACACAGUUCUCGAGUUAAGUGUUCAAAGACAAUGUUCAUGCAACACACAAGUUAAGGACACAUUGGAUCUUGAUGAAUUAAUAUUCAAAUUGUAAAUCCUUACUGACGCACAAAAUAGUUUUAUACCAAAAUCAUAUACUGUUUGAGAGCUAGGAUUUAAAAUUACAACAAAAGUUUAAAUUAUUUUCUGCCUUUUUUUUUUAGCUUUUAUGAUUUACUUGUUUUUUGUUUGUUUGUUUUUUUUAAUAACCGGUAGUAGGAAAUGUUGUUGGGUGACUGCUAUUAGACAUUUAAACAGAAGAUGACAUGCUACUAACUAUAGGCAUCAGACCUGUGAUAUUAGAUGUUGCUAAAUAAAUAAGAGAAGGCUACAAAGCCAAACAGGAUUAUUAUCAAUAAAAACUUCUGUGUGGAACUGAAAAAAUACUAUUACAAAAUAAAAAAGGAAACAACUUUCCCCAGCUGGGCCAGAUAAAGCUAAGGCA
Maylandia zebra (zebra mbuna) is the source of this 1862-nucleotide non-coding RNA. The record is from RefSeq and is a predicted model, not a curated record. Lineage: Eukaryota; Metazoa; Chordata; Actinopteri; Cichliformes; Cichlidae.